This is a long non-coding RNA of Drosophila teissieri, 207 nucleotides long. RefSeq lists it as uncharacterized. The record is from RefSeq and is a predicted model, not a curated record. The transcript is spliced from 2 exons. Lineage: Eukaryota; Metazoa; Arthropoda; Insecta; Diptera; Drosophilidae.
ACAGUCGUCUAAGACAAAAUUAAGAAGAAUCUGAGGUAACCACCGAAAUGGCAGGCGGUGGAGGCGGCGUGGGCGGAAGGUUCGUCUCCUGCAUGAAGGCCGAAGUUUGUGUCAUGGUCACGCUCAGCGGAUCCAUAUUGCUGUCGCUGUUCAAGCGGUCAAAUGCAUCAAAUCCUGGAAAAUACAAAUAAACCAAAAUCAAACUUA